Molecule: long non-coding RNA, 1349 nt
Organism: Oncorhynchus tshawytscha (Chinook salmon)
Lineage: Eukaryota; Metazoa; Chordata; Actinopteri; Salmoniformes; Salmonidae
Source: Ensembl
UUCGACUCCUCUUCAAUGGCUGUGCGAAGUUGCUGGAUGUUGGCGGGAACAAGAACAUGCUGUUAUACACGUCAAUCCAGUGCUCAAUGGGUGGCAUGUCUGGUGAGUAUGCAUGCCAUGGAAGAACUGGGACAUUUUCAGCUUUCAGGAACUGUGUACAGAUUCUUGUGACGUGGGACCGUUCAUUAUCAUGCUGAAACAUGAGGUGAUGGUGUCGGAUGAAUGGCACGACAAUGGGCCUCAGGAUCUCGUUGUGGUGUCUCUGUGCUUUCAAAUUACCAUUGAAUUCAUCAGAUGGUGCCAGAGAGAUGGUGGAUGUUUUACUUCCUCCUAACAGAUUGUGUUUUUAUGUUAGUUUUUUUUAACGUUAUUUGUAACUACAUUUUUUACUUCUUUUGUACAUAACGCUGCUGAUACCGUCUCUUAUGACCGAAUAUAACUUCUGGACAGCGAACUGGCGUCGUGGUAAGACAAGCGGUGGCGGACUAUGCAUAUAUGUAAACAACAGCUGUUGCACGAUAUCUAAGGAAGUCUCAAGGUUUUGCUUGCCUGAGACCGAUGCUGGCAUUAAGACCGCACUCAAUGAGCUGUAUUCCGCCAUAAGCAACCAGGAAAACGCUCAUCCAGAGGCGGCGCUCCUAGUGACCGGGGACGUUAAUGCAGGGAAACUUAAAUCUGUUUUACGAAACUUCUAUCAGCAUGUUAAAUGUGCAACCAGAGGGAUAAAAAUUACUAGCGGCGUGACCACCUUUACUCCACACACAGAGACGCAUCUCCCUCACCCUCCAUUUGGCAAAUCUACCCUCCUAAAGCAGGAAGCACCAGUGACACGAUCAAUAAAAAAGUGGUCAGAUGAAGCAGAUGCUAAGCUAAAGGACUGUUUUGCUAGCACAGACUGGAAUAUGUUCCGGGGUGGCAUUGAGGAGUACACCACAUCUGUCAUUGGCAACCAGACGCCAUGGAUUACAGGCAACAUCCGCACUGAGCUAAAUGCUAGAGCUGCUGCUUUCAAGGAGCGGGACUGUAACCCGGAAGAUCAUAAGAAAUCCCGCUAUGCCCUCCGACGAACCACCAAACAGGCCAAGCGUUAAUACAGGACUAAGAUCGAAUUGUACUACACCGGCUCCGACGCUCGUCGGAUGUGGCAGGGCUUGCAAACCAUUACAGACUACAAAGGGAAGCACAGCCGAGGGCUGCCUAGUGACUCGAGCCUACCAGAUGAGCUAUACUACUUCUACGCUUGCUUCGAGGCACAUAACCCUGAAACAUGCAUUAGAGCACCAGCUGUUUUGGAUGACUGUGUGAUCACGCUCUCCAUAGUCAAUGACCAUGCCUCAGGACUACCUGGC